Molecule: long non-coding RNA, 1472 nt
Organism: Eucalyptus grandis
Lineage: Eukaryota; Viridiplantae; Streptophyta; Magnoliopsida; Myrtales; Myrtaceae
Exons: 2
Source: RefSeq, a predicted model, not a curated record
GAUUCCAUCCAUGUUCGAGUCAUCAAAAUCUUUGCUUUUUUCCCUGUGCUUAUGGUCUGCAUGGCUUAAAUGCAUGCGUGUUAUAUAUUUAGACAUGGAAGGCUUCUUCUGGCUAUGUACCCUAUUGCACUUUAGGUGCAUAUAUUUUGACAUUUGACUUCAGAUUGCACAUUAAGAUUGAUGACUUUCAUUGUAUGUGGUGGAGACAAUCAAUGUUGGCAACUCCUGAAGGAGUUAAAAAAUUGUGUACACUAUUGUAGAGUCUAUGAGCACUGUAUUGUGACAUUUUAACUUCAAAUUGCAGGUUGAGAUUGAAGACUUCUAUUAGCCAGUUAAGACUAACUGAAUUUCCUGAAACUAGUAAAUACUAUAUUUACAUUUUGUUUGCCUUUUCUCUUUAUUGUUUGUUUGUAUCAAUCUUUUCCUCAUAAAACUAUAUUGGCAAAGUGUUCCCUGUGAAUUCAUAAAGAGGUACAUCCAGAAGAACCAGCAAAUUACUACUCUUAGCUAUUUGAACAAAUAAUGGCUGGUGCAGUUCAUGAGCUAUCAACACCAUUAUCCAGUAAACAUAUCUGUGGUUGGCCCACUUUUGUGAGAGAAGCUUAUCUGGAUGAAGGGGAUGUCUGUGUGUUUAAGCACAUUGAUAUGGACGGUUUUAUGGUCAUAGUCUCUGUCUCCAGUUAUGCUAGUGAGGACCUCAUUUAGGUCAAUUGAGAUGAACAUUAGAAGCAUCACUUGAGGCUGUAUAUUAAUGAAGCAAUUCAUGCCUUCUUUAUUCAGUUGCGACAAAUCAAUUGAAAAUGCACUUACUUUUGGCUUUGCUUCUCUUUCUUGACCUACUUACAGUCUUAUCAGAGUUCUCUUUCUUCUUUUGUGCAGGUUAGAACAGACAAGUCUAAAUGUCCAGUGAGCCCUCCUAAGCAGCUUUUUCGUGAUUCCAAGUGCCUGAGGCCUCUCAUUGCACUUGAGAAAGCUAGAUAAUUCAAAUUGGAGUAUCCCCUUUUCCAGACAGUGAUGUGGCCAUCUUUUCCUAAGAAAGAAGUGGCGGCUUGGGAAGAAGAGGCAACAUGAAAUGUUCAGCUUAAGCCAUAACUAUUGCAACAGGCCUAGGCUUGGGAUGAUUGAGCUCACUGCAACAGCAUGGCACCACUAGUUGAAUAUUGCUCCCCAGCAAUGACUGGUUUAGUGAGAUCUACUAUUGCAAGCAAGUUCAAACUUGCGAUCAGAAAUGAAGGGAAGGUAGUGCAGCCCUAAACCUCAAAAAUUAGUUCUACUACCUCGGUGGUAUGAAAAAAAGAAAAGAAGAUCACUUUUUUUUGGGGGCCAAGCAAAAGAAAAUCACUCACUUAUUGUGUAUAUGUAUCCAUUUAGGACGCUAGGUGCAGCUUUUCAUGUUUGUUUCGAUGCAUAUUGCAAUGCAAGAUUGGUGACUCGGAUAUUCAGCAGAUUCAUGCAUGUCUCUAUAUUGAUUA